RNAcentral lists this ribosomal RNA (1343 nucleotides) under uncultured bacterium. Its description in RNAcentral is "16S ribosomal RNA". It matches the Rfam family "Bacterial small subunit ribosomal RNA", at positions 28 to 1378 of the family's 1533-position model. The record is from RNAcentral.
GACGAACGUUUGCGGCGUGCUUAACACAUGCAAGUCGAACGGAAAGGCCCUGCUUUUGUGGGGUGCUCGAGUGGCGAACGGGUGAGUAACACGUGAGUAACCUGCCCUUGACUUUGGGAUAACUUCAGGAAACUGGGGCUAAUACCGGAUAGGAGCUCCUGCUGCAUGGUGGGGGUUGGAAAGUUUCGGCGGUUGGGGAUGGACUCGCGGCUUAUCAGCUUGUUGGUGGGGUAGUGGCUUACCAAGGCUUUGACGGGUAGCCGGCCUGAGAGGGUGACCGGCCACAUUGGGACUGAGAUACGGCCCAGACUCCUACGGGAGGCAGCAGUGGGGAAUAUUGCACAAUGGGCGGAAGCCUGAUGCAGCAACGCCGCGUGCGGGAUGACGGCCUUCGGGUUGUAAACCGCUUUCGCCUGUGACGAAGCGUGAGUGACGGUAAUGGGUAAAGAAGCACCGGCUAACUACGUGCCAGCAGCCGCGGUGAUACGUAGGGUGCGAGCGUUGUCCGGAUUUAUUGGGCGUAAAGGGCUCGUAGGUGGUUGAUCGCGUCGGAAGUGUAAUCUUGGGGCUUAACCCUGAGCGUGCUUUCGAUACGGGUUGACUUGAGGAAGGUAGGGGAGAAUGGAAUUCCUGGUGGAGCGGUGGAAUGCGCAGAUAUCAGAAGGAACACCAGUGGCGAAGGCGGUUCUCUGGGCCUUUCCUGACGCUGAGGAGCGAAAGCGUGGGGAGCGAACAGGCUUAGAUACCCUGGUAGUCCACGCUGUAAACGGUGGGUACUAGGUGUGGGGUCCAUUCCACGGGUUCCGUGCCGUAGCUAACGCUUUAAGUACCCCGCCUGGGGAGUACGGCCGCAAGGCUAAAACUCAAAGGAAUUGACGGGGCCCCGCACAAGCGGCGGAGCAUGCGGAUUAAUUCGAUGCAACGCGUAGAACCUUACCUGGGUUUGACAUGGAUCGGGAGUGCUCAGAGAUGGGUGUGCCUCUUUUGGGGUCGGUUCACAGGUGGUGCAUGGCUGUCGUCAGCUCGUGUCGUGAGAUGUUGGGUUAAGUCCCGCAACGAGCGCAACCCUUGUUCACUGUUGCCAGCACGUUAUGGUGGGGACUCAGUGGAGACCGCCGGGGUCAACUCGGAGGAAGGUGGGGAUGACGUCAAGUCAUCAUGCCCCUUAUGUCCAGGGCUUCACGCAUGCCACAAUGGCUGGUACAGAGAGUGGCGAGCCUGUGAGGGUGAGCGAAUCUCGGAAAGCCGGUCUCAGCUCGGAUUGGGGUCUGCAACUCGACCUCAUGAAGUCGGAGUCGCUAGUAAUCGCAGAUCAGCAACGCUGCGGUGAAUACGUUCCCGGG